RNAcentral lists this transfer RNA (74 nucleotides) under Thermotoga sp. RNAcentral describes it as "tRNA-Gln". It matches the Rfam family "tRNA". Rfam says of the family: Transfer RNA (tRNA) molecules are approximately 80 nucleotides in length. Their secondary structure includes four short double-helical elements and three loops (D, anti-codon, and T loops). Further hydrogen bonds mediate the characteristic L-shaped molecular structure. tRNAs have two regions of fundamental functional importance: the anti-codon, which is responsible for specific mRNA codon recognition, and the 3' end, to which the tRNAs corresponding amino acid is attached (by aminoacyl-tRNA synthetases). tRNAs cope with the degeneracy of the genetic code in two manners: having more than one tRNA (with a specific anti-codon) for a particular amino acid; and 'wobble' base-pairing, i.e. permitting non-standard base-pairing at the 3rd anti-codon position. The record is from RNAcentral. Lineage: Bacteria; Thermotogati; Thermotogota; Thermotogae; Thermotogales; Thermotogaceae.
UGGGAGAUCGUCUAACGGUAGGACAUCAGACUCUGGAUCUGAUAGUGAAGGUUCAAAUCCUUCUCUCCCAGCUA